Trichonephila inaurata madagascariensis is the source of this 73-nucleotide non-coding RNA. The record is from the annotation of a GenBank genome assembly. NCBI's taxonomy places the organism in Eukaryota, Metazoa, Arthropoda, Arachnida, Araneae, Nephilidae.
GUCUCGGUAGCGCAAUGAACUGUGCGUUGGACUUCCAAUCCAAAAGUCGUGGGUUUGAAUCCCACCAGGGAUG